CAGUAGCCACGGUAAUACGGAGGGGGCUAGCGUUGUUCGGAAUUACUGGGCGUAAAGCGCACGUAGGCGGCUUGGUAAGUUAGAGGUGAAAGCCCAGGGCUCAACCCUGGAAUUGCCUUUAAGACUGCCGAGCUAGUAGGUGAGAGAGGUAAGUGGAAUUCCGAGUGUAGAGGUGAAAUUCGUAGAUAUUCGGAAGAACACCAGUGGCGAAGGCGGCUUACUGGCUCAUUCUAGACGCUGAGGUGCGAAAGCGUGGGGAGCAAACAGGAUUAGAUACCCCCGUAGUCCCUGUCUCUUAUAC
Molecule: ribosomal RNA, 301 nt
Filed under: uncultured bacterium
Lineage: Bacteria
Description: partial 16S ribosomal RNA
Rfam family: Bacterial small subunit ribosomal RNA
Source: RNAcentral